GGGAUAAACGCUGAAGGCAUCUAAGCGUGAAGCCCCCCUCAAGAUGAGAUAUCCCAUACGCAGGUAGUAAGACCCCUUGAAGACGACAAGGUAGAUAGGUCAGAGGUGGAAGUGUGGUGACACAUGGAGCUGACUGAUACUAAUCGGUCGAGGGCUUGACCAAAA
RNAcentral lists this ribosomal RNA (165 nucleotides) under Clostridium sp. AM22-11AC. RNAcentral describes it as "partial 23S ribosomal RNA". It matches the Rfam family "Bacterial large subunit ribosomal RNA", at positions 2761 to 2925 of the family's 2925-position model. Lineage: Bacteria; Bacillati; Bacillota; Clostridia; Eubacteriales; Clostridiaceae. The record is from RNAcentral.